Molecule: long non-coding RNA, 613 nt
Filed under: Macaca mulatta (Rhesus monkey)
Lineage: Eukaryota; Metazoa; Chordata; Mammalia; Primates; Cercopithecidae
Description: lncRNA (ENSMMUG00000063084.1)
Source: RNAcentral
CUGGAGUUCAGACAGGUGAGUCAUCUUGCCCAAAGUCACAUGACUAAUAUGUGGCAGAACUGGAAUGUGAGGAGAUCUAACUCCAAAAUGGACUAUAGUAUGUUACAAUGAUUCUCAACCUCCAUCAGACUCUGUCCAGGAAAUAAACUGUGAAGCUACACCUGAAACCACCAAACCCAUCUCAAACUCAAUGAUCUUUUACAUUUUACCUCUUUUUUUUUUUUUUGUAGCAUUUCUGUGGUCCUGCUGGUUAUGCCAACUUUAUCCCAGCUACCUGAAGGAUCGUCGUGCUGGAGAAGACAUGCCUCUCUGUGUGGAGACCCACCUGACCAAGGCUCAACUUUGUGAACAUAACGGUUGGAGGAACUGCCCCUCAGACUGUUCAACUUGCUCAGAAAAGUGGCCUUCCUUUGGCUGGGGAAUGGCAACCCUGGGGUUCAACAAUUUGAAACUGCUUCACACCAAGAGCAGAGAAACUCACUCUAUGGUUAUCACAUCAGAGAGAUCCAAUACCCAAAACCUGAGAACAUUUGCCUUGUUUCGUUGGAUUCAACACAUCCAUCUGCUAGGUUAUCUGUCUUCAGUCAACAUGGCUCAGAGAAAUCCAUGCUGA